CUCGUCGACCUAUCGACAGUUAGAAAUUAGUCCCUUCUCUAUUUCCAACCUGUGGUACGCGAAAUGACCUUGGAGAGGUGAACCAAGUGGGUAUGAGAAGAAAACAUUACAUUAUGGGAGUAUUAUUGUCUGCAUCUUCAUCUAGCGUGAAAGUCAAGGUGGUCAGGACUAAGAAGUCAUGUGGGAAAUGGGACAUUUACAAAAAGAUAAGCAACGGGUGUUUCCCACUGAGCACUGUAGUCCAGGACAAGAGACGUGAGAAGUCUUCAUUGGGAGAUGACUUCCACCUAAAAUACAAGUAUCAUGCAUCAUAAAAUAUUGUUCAGUACCUUCAAAUAAAAGUUGAUUAUUAUGUUA
This is a long non-coding RNA of Zootermopsis nevadensis, 357 nucleotides long. RefSeq lists it as uncharacterized. NCBI's taxonomy places the organism in Eukaryota, Metazoa, Arthropoda, Insecta, Blattodea, Termopsidae. The record is from RefSeq and is a predicted model, not a curated record.